Molecule: ribosomal RNA, 273 nt
Filed under: uncultured bacterium
Lineage: Bacteria
Description: partial 16S ribosomal RNA
Rfam family: Bacterial small subunit ribosomal RNA
Source: RNAcentral
GACGAACCGUGCGAACGUUAUUCGGAAUCACUGGGCUUAAAGGGCGCGUAGGCGGGGUCGCCAGUCUGUGGUGAAAUCCCUCGGCUCAACCGAGGAACUGCCGUGGAUACUGCGACUCUCGAGGGGUGUAGGGGCAUGCGGAACUCAGGGUGGAGCGGUGAAAUGCGUAGAUAUCCUGAGGAACGCCGGUGGCGAAAGCGGCGUGCUGGACACCUUCUGACGCUGAGGCGCGGAAGCCAGGGGAGCAAACGGGAUUAGAUACCCCCGUAGUCC